GCCGACAGCGCGGUGUUUUCUGGGUAACGCGGUUCAAAGGUCAUCAACAUUGAGCAACGACAGACAGAACCGCGAGACACAACCAGGGAUCAUCUGGCCAGAGCUCAAUGACUAACCACAGGGGAUCUCAUUAGGACGAAGCACAAACAGACAGGUGCAAACAGACCCCAGCCCUUGCAUCACCACUGGACCCCAGAGCAGCUCCCUACCUGAGGCUAGUCCGAGUCAGUGUGGUCAGACUUCACAAGGACCCAGUCUACCACCACCAGGUCAGAGCAUCUUGAUGAUUUUGUCAGAUUAAGCUUCACUUUAAAAUGUUGGUUGUUGAUUCAUGUGUGUUCUUGUUUUGAUGGCUGUGGCAUUUUUAUUGUGAUUAUACUGUCACGCCCUGGCCUUAGUAUUCUUUGUUUUCUUUAUGUUGUUUAGUUAGGUCAGGGUGUGACAUGGGGAAUGUAUGUGUUUUGUAGUGUCUAGGGGUGUUGUAUGUGUAUGGGGCAGAGUAGAGUGUAGUUGUCUAGUUAUGUCUAUGGCUGCCUAGAUUGGUUCUCAAUCAGAGACAGGUGUCAUUCAUUGUCUCUGAUUGGGAGCCAUAUUUAAGGCAGCCAUAGGCAGUAGGCUUUUGUGGGUAGUUGUCUAUGUUCAACGUUUGUAGCUUGUGUGUGCACUAACGUUUGUAGCUUCACGGUCGUUUGUUGUUUCAGUUUAUGUAUAGUGUUCGUUUCGUGUUUUCUCUCUUCUAAAUAAAAGAAGAUGUAUUUUCCACACGCUGCGCCUUGGUCCUCUCUCUCACCCAUAGACGAUCGUGACAUAUACACUAAUGGUACUGAUGUCUUGCUCAGACCUCUGGCGUUGAGCAAGACAGUGAGCCAGAGCUGCCAGGAGAUGUCAUCGAGCCCCUCCCAACUGCAUCAAGCACCAGAUAUACAGUUCCAAAAGGACCCAAUGACAUUUCAAGGUCCAGAGAAGAGGGUCCUGUACAGCCAUGUUUGAAAACCUUUCCCAGAGCUCAGCAUGGUACUACUAGGAAAAGGGCUUUCAACAGCUCCUGGUAUAAGGACAAUUCAUGGCUUGAAUAUUCUGUAAGUCAAGAUUCGACUUAUUGUUUUGUCUGUAGGCAUUUUUCUCUGCCCAAUACACCUGAAUCUGCCUUCACAUCAGUCAGGUUUUUGUAACUGGCACUGUUUAAAGAUUCUGGGUUUAAGCUCCAUUCCAAGGCAGAGCAUCAUAUCAAUGCUAUGUGUGCUUGGAAUCAGCAUAAAAUGGCUAUUGACAGCAACUCAUCAAUGUUAGAUGUCAUAAAUGAGGACUUCAAAAAGAAAGUGGAGGAAAAUUGUACUUACAUUAAAACAAUUGCAGAUGUGCUCCUAUUAACUGCCUCUCAAAAUAUAGCACAGACAGGUCAUCGAGAGUCUGAUGACUCUCACAAACAAGGGUCAUUUUUUGACAAUCUUAGAAGAAAUAGCAAAGCAUGACCCUCUCAAAGAGAAAAAGAUGAAUGCAUGUGGCAAUGCUACACAAGCCACCAAAUCCAGAAGGAAGUUCUUGAGGGCUGAGCUGAGAUGGUACAAAGUGAACUAAUAAGAGAAGUAAAAGAAAGUGAAGUUUUUAGUGGAAUUGCAGAUGAAACCAAAGAUUUAAAGAAAAAAGAACAAAUGUCCUUUGUUGUGAGGUACUAUUACAACGGGGACAUCCACAAAAGCUUUUUACACUUUCAGUCAGCUGAAAGCUUAGAUGAAGCAUGAUAAAUCUGGUAGUUCACUCUGGUAGACCUACAUUAUGAUCAAAUAGCCACAGUACUCUACUUGGCCACUGUUAAAACUGUAACUUAAAGCGGGUACAGCCUCAGUGUUCACAGGAAAAGCACACUGGAAGUUGCACAACGUUCAAGUUUGCACUCAGCAGAGCUGAAAUUUGCUCAGUGCCCCCCAAAAAUGUGACUUGUCCCAUGUUCUGAUCAUAGUCACUCCAUGUCGUCGUUUCAUGUUGAGUUCCUUAAUGCCGUGACGUGCUUCCAUAAAGCCUAAACAACAUUGUAGCACAUCUGUCCUAUAAACAGUGACGGAACUAGAAUUUUCUACAUGGGGUGGCCCCUACUUCAGGGGUCCAUAGACCAUGACAUAAAAUGUGUGUGUAACCCUAACCUGGCAUCUAAUGAGCAUGAAUGAGUCCUAUGAUUGCUGAUUAGAGGUAGAGGUGAUAAUUCACUGAACCCGGAGUUCUUCAAUGUGGCAGAUAGUGUGGUCCAAAAGGGUUGCUUCACUAGAAUUCUUUAACAUACUAUGAAUAGUCAGUGUGUCUGCCUCGGAACUGCAGCUCAGUUUCUCUCUCUCUCACAUUCACACACACACACACACACUGUACUCACAUACUGGAGAGA
Salvelinus fontinalis (brook trout) is the source of this 2377-nucleotide long non-coding RNA. RefSeq lists it as uncharacterized. The transcript is spliced from 4 exons. The record is from RefSeq and is a predicted model, not a curated record. NCBI's taxonomy places the organism in Eukaryota, Metazoa, Chordata, Actinopteri, Salmoniformes, Salmonidae.